Molecule: unclassified non-coding RNA, 253 nt
Filed under: Glomus sp.
Lineage: Eukaryota; Fungi; Glomeromycota; Glomeromycetes; Glomerales; Glomeraceae
Description: partial contains 5.8S ribosomal RNA and internal transcribed spacer 2
Rfam family: 5.8S ribosomal RNA (bases 1-65)
Source: RNAcentral
GUGAAUCAUCAAAUCUUUGAACGCAAAUUGCACUCUUUUCGGAGCGUAUGCCUGUUUCAGGGUCAGACUCAAUAAAAUCGUCAUACUUGCUGUUACGCGGUAACAUUCGUCUGAUAUGGGGUCAUCUUAAACCUUUGGGUUUAAGCGGCUUUAAAUUUUCUUUACGAUACCAAGAACGUUUCUAAGAUUUUAUUUUCUUAUACGUUUAUGGUAUCGAUCUUUAUUAGUCGUGGCCGUUGCAUCGGCUGUCGUU